GAGGCUCAGAUCUGGGUUGCUGAUAAACUAGGCAUCUAGUCCAGGGGCUGCUGGAGGCAGGAGGAGCCAAGACCUUCUCCUUGAGCUAAGAUGAACUUAGGAGGCCAGGAACAAGGUCAGGAGGGCAGGGAGGAGCUCAGAAGGCCGAGGACAGGCUUGGGAGGCUGAGGACUCGCUCAGUUUGCAUUUCUCUGAUGGCCAGUGAUGGUGAGCAUUUUUUCAUGUGUUUUUUGGCUGCAUAAAUGUCUUCUUUUGAGAAGUGUCUGUUCAUAUCCUUUGCCCACUUUUUGAUGCGGUUGUUUGUUUUUUUCUUGUAAAUUUGUUUGAGUUCAUUGUAGAUUCUGGGCUGGGUGGUCACAGUGUCCUCAGAGCCUUGACAUCUGCACCUGUGAGAUGACACUUGCCUGCCCACCUCUGAGCAUCCCAGUUGUGCCCACAGCCCCGGGUGAGGGCAGGGCCGAGACGUGUGCCCAGAUUGCUGUAUUGAUGUUGAAUAGACCUGCUGGAAAGGGUUCCAGACGCUAUCACACAUGGAGUGGGACAGGAUGAGCAUUCCAACCUUUCAUUGAAAGUUCUGUUUAUAUGUAGCUGCCAAACACCUUGGUGAGUGGACUAUUCUUCCAAGAUGGAAAUGAACUUGUCCUACCCAAAAUGGGGCAGUGCUGUGGUUCAGCAGGAGACACACCCCCAACCCAAAGCAGGUGUGUGAGGAGGGGGUGGCAAAGGGGAUGCAUGCCCCUAUCACAA
RNAcentral lists this long non-coding RNA (747 nucleotides) under Homo sapiens (human). RNAcentral's name for it is "non-protein coding lnc-PDGFA-13:2". The record is from RNAcentral. Lineage: Eukaryota; Metazoa; Chordata; Mammalia; Primates; Hominidae.